This 440-nucleotide ribosomal RNA is filed under the name uncultured bacterium. RNAcentral describes it as "partial 16S ribosomal RNA". It matches the Rfam family "Bacterial small subunit ribosomal RNA", at positions 338 to 795 of the family's 1533-position model. The record is from RNAcentral.
CCUACGGGUGGCAGCAGUGGGGGAUAUUGCACAAUGGGGGAAACCCUGAUGCAGCGACGCCGCGUGGGUGAAGAAGCGCCUCGGCGCGUAAAGCCCUGUCUGCAGGGAAGAAAAUGACGGUACCUGAAGAAGAAGCUCUGGCUAACUACGUGCCAGCAGCCGCGGUAAUACGUAGGGGGCAAGCAUUAUCCGGAUUUACUGGGUGUAAAGGGGGCGCAGACGGCGAUGCAAGCCAGGAGUGAAAGCCCGGGGCCCAACCCCGAGACUGCCCUUGGAACUGCGUGGCUAGAGUGCAGGAGGGGCAGGCGGAAUUCCUGGUGUAGCGGUGAAAUGCGUAGAUAUCAGGAGGAACACCGAUGGCGAAGGCAGCCUGCUGGACUGCAACUGACAUUGAGGCCCGAAAGCGUGGGGAGCAAACAGGAUUAGAUACCCCUGUAGUC